ACGCACGCUGGCGGCAUGCCUCACCCCUGCCAGUCGCACGAGACCUUCGGGUCUAGUGGCGCCCGGGUGCGUAACGCGUGGGAACCUGCCCUUAGGUUCGGAAUAACUCCCCGAAAGGGGUGCUAAUACCGGAUAAUGUCUUCGGACCAAAGAUUUAUCGCCUUUGGAUGGGCCCGCGUUGGAUUAGCUAGUUGGUAGGGUAAAAGCCUACCAAGGCGACGAUCCAUAGCUGGUCUGAGAGGAUGAUCAGCCACACUGGGACUGAGACACGGCCCAGACUCCUACGGGAGGCAGCAGUGGGGAAUAUUGGACAAUGGGCGAAAGCCUGAUCCAGCAAUGCCGCGUGAGUGAUGAAGGCCUUAGGGUUGUAAAGCUCUUUUACCCGGGAUGAUAAUGACAGUACCGGGAGAAUAAGCUCCGGCUAACUCCGUG
Molecule: ribosomal RNA, 432 nt
Filed under: uncultured bacterium
Lineage: Bacteria
Description: partial 16S ribosomal RNA
Rfam family: Bacterial small subunit ribosomal RNA
Source: RNAcentral